Molecule: ribosomal RNA, 292 nt
Filed under: uncultured bacterium
Lineage: Bacteria
Description: partial 16S ribosomal RNA
Rfam family: Bacterial small subunit ribosomal RNA
Source: RNAcentral
GUGCCAGCAGCCGCGGUAAUACGGAGUGUGCAAGCGUUACUCGGAAUCACUGGGCAUAAAGGGCGCGUAGGCGGGUUUCCAAGUCGGUUGUGAAAUCCCUCAGCUCAACUGAGGAACUGCAUCCGAUACUGUUUGUCUUGAGGUCGGGAGGGGAGAGUGGAACUUCUGGUGAAGCGGUGAAAUGCGUAGAUAUCAGAAGGAACGCCGGUGGCGAAAGCGACUCUCUGGCCCGAAUCUGACGCUGAAGCGCGAAAGCUUGGGUAGCAAACGGGAUUAGAAACCCUGGUAGUCC